This 68-nucleotide microRNA precursor is filed under the name Bombyx mori (domestic silkworm). RNAcentral describes it as "mir-2774 microRNA precursor family". It matches the Rfam family "mir-2774 microRNA precursor family". Lineage: Eukaryota; Metazoa; Arthropoda; Insecta; Lepidoptera; Bombycidae. The record is from Rfam by way of RNAcentral.
GCAGCAUUCGGACCAUUCGGUCUACCGAGCAAUAACAUCCGCUGGGUGGAAGAUCUUCCCUUUGUCGU